UACGUAGGUGGCAAGCGUUAUCCGGAAUUAUUGGGCGUAAAGAGCGCGCAGGUGGUUGAUUAAGUCUGAUGUGAAAGCCCACGGCUUAACCGUGGAGGGUCAUUGGAAACUGGUCGACUUGAGUGCAGAAGAGGGAAGUGGAAUUCCAUGUGUAGCGGUGAAAUGCGUAGAUAUCGGGAGGAACACCAGUGGCGAAGGCGACUUCCUGGCACAAUACUGACGCUCAUGUGCGAAAGCUAGGGUAGCGAACGGGAUUAGAUA
This 261-nucleotide ribosomal RNA is filed under the name uncultured prokaryote. Its description in RNAcentral is "partial 16S ribosomal RNA". It matches the Rfam family "Bacterial small subunit ribosomal RNA", at positions 524 to 784 of the family's 1533-position model. The record is from RNAcentral.